Molecule: RNA transcript, 1816 nt
Organism: Hydra vulgaris (swiftwater hydra)
Lineage: Eukaryota; Metazoa; Cnidaria; Hydrozoa; Anthoathecata; Hydridae
Gene name: cysteine-rich secretory protein 1
Source: RefSeq, a predicted model, not a curated record
UAUAACUUUUUUAUUGUUAUUUAUAUAACUAACCUUACCAGUAAAAGAAAAAGGUUUCUACGUUAGUUACAAAUUACAUUCUACAAAUGUUACAAGUAAUUUUACAUAUUAUAACUAUUAAGGCAAGCUCAUUAUUUGGAUUGAACAUAUAUAAAAGUUAAAACUUUUAGUUGAAAUAUAAAUAUGGUUUGGUGGAAUAGAAAUACAAAAGUUUAUUUAUUCACAAUAACUAUAUGUUUAAUAAUGGUUGUAAACGGAGAAUUUAUUAAUUUUCAAUCUAUUCGGGAACCAGAAAAAUGCCUUUUUGCUCACAAUCAUAUUAGAAAAGUUUGGCACGAUACAAACGAAUUGAAAUGGGAUGACGAACUUGCUUAUGGAGCUACAAAGUGGGCAACUCAUUUAGCAUUACAAAAUGAUUUGCGUCACUCAGAAAUGAAUAAUUACGGCGAAAACAUCUUUCGUAUGAGUGGUGACCCUUCUUUACGGUGCAUUGAUGCAGUUCAUGAAUGGUACAAAGAAAGACUAAGUUCACUUUACGAUUUUGAUGAUGUUAAGUUUGACCCAAAAGCUGGUCAUAUGCUUCAACUGUUGUGGAAGACUGCAAAAAAUGUUGGUGUUGGAAUUGUAACAGCGAAUGGCAAUGUAUGGAUUGUUGCAAGAUACACUCCAGCUCAAGAAGUGGAAACAAGUUAUAAAGAUUACAUUAAAAAGCCAGUCAAAGACGGAUUUCCUGAAAAACACGAGUUAAUUUCAAAUGAAAACCAUCAGACGCUUCAUUCCAGUAUGACCUUUGAAGUUUCAAAAGCAUGCAACGAUGUGCAAGACAAAUGGAGCUUUUGUAAAGAACGUGUUUCUGAUUGCAACGAUAACCCAAUGUUUAGAGAGAACUGUGCAUUAACAUGUCGUACAUCUCCUGAAUGCUCGCAAACAGAAAAUGAUAAUUGGACAGAAUGGGUCAAAGUUUCAAAUUGUUUGGCAGACUGCCGAUAUCGAGAAGAACGGUAUUGCAUAAAUUCGUCUAAAGAUGGUGAAGCAAACAGUUGUCCUGGAAGAAAUACAAAUUAUGUUGACUGUACAGAUUGUAAAUGUGAAGAUGUAGAUCCCAACUGUGUCGAAGAAAAAGCAAUAGGACGCUGUGAAUUAUCAGCUGAAUGGGCUAAAAUUAAAUGUAGGAAAACUUGUGGGUUUUGUUCAAAAGAAGGAUACAAAAGUAUGAUGUCUUGGUUAAAAAUAUCAAACUGUCAAUGUCAAUCAUCAGCAUACUAGCAGUGGUAUUGCAAGAUGACAUUAAGUUUUUCUGUGAGCUAAGGCAUGCUUUUUGUAAGCCUGUUAAUGACCAGAAUCUUUGUAAGCCAGUAAAACAAUUUAAUGACCAGAAAUAAUUUCAAAAAGCUUAUUUAGACAAUUACAAACACCAUGAAAAAAGUAGUCAUACAAAAUAUGUGUAAUGCUGAUACAAAAGUCUUAUACAGUUUAAACACUGUUGUUGUUAAUAGAGGUGCUUCAUGUGAUUGAAAAUGGGAACGAGGAGAUUUUUAUACUAUGAAUAAUGACUGCAAUAUCUAUUGAUAGUGGAAAAUAUUUGGAUGUAUAACCUAUGAAUAUAGUUUGUAGGUUUGUAUUAAUGAAACAGAAGACAUAACAAAUACUAACAAAUAUUUUUAUUGCACAAUCUGUCAAUUUGGGAUAAAGCUUUAAGAUGAAAAUGGCGAUUGUUAUAAACUAAUAAACAAUGAAAAAGAUGACGAAAUGAUGCACAUUCUCGUUCAAGCAAACACAGAAUAUUUCUACUGUUACACAAAAAAACAUAUUAUUA